Podarcis lilfordi (Lilford's wall lizard) is the source of this 69-nucleotide non-coding RNA. The record is from the annotation of a GenBank genome assembly. Lineage: Eukaryota; Metazoa; Chordata; Lepidosauria; Squamata; Lacertidae.
GCUGUAGCUCAGCGGUAGUGCAACUGCUUUGCAUGCAGAAGGCUCCAGGUUCAGUCCCUGGCAUCUUCA